Molecule: long non-coding RNA, 701 nt
Filed under: Phoenix dactylifera (date palm)
Lineage: Eukaryota; Viridiplantae; Streptophyta; Magnoliopsida; Arecales; Arecaceae
Description: long non-coding RNA (PDAC_LNC019264)
Source: RNAcentral
AACACACGCCCAUAUGGAUCCUUACAUAUCCCCCCCAUUAAAGUCUUGGGUAGAUCUUGGGUACUUAUACAGGAUCAAGAAACUCAAAUAAUACCUUCCGGCUAGCCAUUUUGAGUGAGGUCUUGGGUUGUUGCAAAUGGUAUCAGAGCCGACCCGACCCAUAGCCUAUGUAGACUAGGGGACACUGCAGAACGGAUCCAUUGAGGCCGGCUGACCACGGGCCGAUCAUAGUGUUUGUGAUUAUAUUUGAAUAGAUUUGAAUCCUUAGCCUGACGAGGACGUCAGCGCUUAAAUGGGAAAGUAUGUGAGGACCUGUACGGACGUAUGUUUAGUCUCACAUUGGUUAUUCACUAGAUAAAUCUUGGGUACUUAUAAAGGAUCAAAGAAUACAAAUAAUACAUUCCGGCUAGUCAUUUUGGAUGAGGUCCUGAGUUGUUACAGCGACAUUCUACAAUAGCACUGCCAUGUCAUGGGCCGAAUCUUGGGCGCGAAAAAUCAUGUCCAGAUCCGAGCCGUGACAGGAACAAAGUUAUAUCAAGUGGCUGUGAUGUCUUAUAUCACUAUUAAAACACAAUUGUAAUAUUAUUACUAAUUAUACUAACAGAAUUAUAUUUAUAUCACUCACAAGUUAUUUCAAGUAGGUUGUGAUGUCUUAGUAAUAAUAACUCCGUGGACAAAAAUAAUUAAUCAUUUUUUUAAAG